UACAGAGGGGGCAAGCGUUAUUCGGAAUUAUUGGGCGUAAAGGGCGCGUAGGCGGCCUGGCAAGUGGAAGGUGAAAUCCCUCGGCUUAACCGAGGAACUGCCCUCCAAACUGCUUGGCUUGAGUCCGGGAGAGGUGAGUGGAAUUCCCAGUGUAGCGGUGAAAUGCGUAGAUAUUGGGAGGAACACCAGUGGCGAAGGCGGCUACCUGGACCGGUUCUGACGCUGAUGCGCGAAAGCGUGGGUAGCAAACAGG
Molecule: ribosomal RNA, 253 nt
Filed under: uncultured bacterium
Lineage: Bacteria
Description: partial 16S ribosomal RNA
Rfam family: Bacterial small subunit ribosomal RNA
Source: RNAcentral